UGCUGAUUGAGGUAGCCAUAUUGAAUUGAUA
RNAcentral lists this non-coding RNA (31 nucleotides) under Rattus norvegicus (Norway rat). The record is from RNAcentral. Lineage: Eukaryota; Metazoa; Chordata; Mammalia; Rodentia; Muridae.